UACGAAGGGGGCUAGCGUUGUUCGGAAUCACUGGGCGUAAAGCGCACGUAGGCGGGUUUGUAAGUUAGGGGUGAAAUCCCGGGGCUCAACCUCGGAACUGCCCUUGAUACUGCAAGCCUAGAGUCCGAGAGAGGUGAGUGGAAUUCCUAGUGUAGAGGUGAAAUUCGUAGAUAUUAGGAAGAACACCAGUGGCGAAGGCG
Molecule: ribosomal RNA, 200 nt
Filed under: uncultured bacterium
Lineage: Bacteria
Description: partial 16S ribosomal RNA
Rfam family: Bacterial small subunit ribosomal RNA
Source: RNAcentral